AUACAGAGGGUGCGAGCGUUAAUCGGAAUUACUGGGCGUAAAGCGCGCGUAGGCGGCUUAUUAAGUCAGAUGUGAAAUCCCCGGGCUCAACCUGGGAACUGCAUCUGAUACUGGUAAGCUAGAGUUUUGGAGAGGGAAGUAGAAUUUCAGGUGUAGCGGUGAAAUGCAUAGAGAUCUGAAGGAAUACCAGUGGCGAAGGCGACUUCCUGGCCAAAAACUGACGCUGAGGUGCGAAAGCGUGGGUAGCAAACGGCAUUAGAUACCCCAGUAGUCC
This 274-nucleotide ribosomal RNA is filed under the name uncultured bacterium. Its description in RNAcentral is "partial 16S ribosomal RNA". It matches the Rfam family "Bacterial small subunit ribosomal RNA", at positions 523 to 796 of the family's 1533-position model. The record is from RNAcentral.